RNAcentral lists this ribosomal RNA (492 nucleotides) under uncultured bacterium. RNAcentral describes it as "partial 16S ribosomal RNA". It matches the Rfam family "Bacterial small subunit ribosomal RNA", at positions 29 to 507 of the family's 1533-position model. The record is from RNAcentral.
AGUGAACGCUGGCGGUAGGCCUAACACAUGCAAGUCGAACGGCAGCACAGUAAGAGCUGGCUAUUAGGGGUGGCGAGUGGCGGACGGGUGAGGUAUACAUCGCACUCUACUUUUUCGUGGGGGAUAACGUAGGGAAACUUACGCUAAUACCGCACACGUCCUACGGGUGAAAGCAGAGGAUCUUCGGACCUUGCGUGAUUGCAUGAGCUGUUGUCGUAUUAGCUAGUUGGCGGGGUAAAGGCGCACCAAGGCGACGAUCGGUAGCUGGUCUGAGAGGAGGAACAGGCACACUGGAACUGAGACGCGGUACAGACUCCUACGGGAGGCACCAAUGGGGAAUGGUGGACGAUGUGGGCAAGCCUGCUCCAGCGAUACAGCGUGGGUGAAGAAGGGCUUCGGGUUGUAAGGCCGUUUUGUGGGUGAAGAAAGGCAUCAGCAGAAUACCACGCUUUUCUGACGGUACCUAAAGAAGAAGCACCGGCUAACUUCGUG